AGGCAGAGAUGACAUUUACAUCAGUGUUGUGACAACAGUCGAACAAGAUGAGAAGUUUUGUGAUAUCCCUGGUUACCGUGCUUCUUGCGUGUACAUACGCUACCCCACCCCCUUUGUGGGGUCCGUUUGAACCUUUCCCCAGACCAUUACCACCAUUACCACCACCAUUUAAAAACCCAUUACUCCCUCCUUGUUUAAUGAUGUCCAGGUGUGUCUAUGUGAUUUCUAUUGACUCUGAGGGAGCAACUAGCUACAGCAAUGUAGAAGCUCAUUCCGGCAGUGUCGCUUCUGGAGGCGUGAAAGGCUCAACCUUCGGAAACGGCGCAUUGAGUGCAGCUAAUAUAAGACCGUGUGGACCCUUGAAAGCGCUGUUUCAUGGUUGCUGAACAUGUCAGAAAGGACUCUAUAUUCAAUUGAAGAAAAAAAGUACUUAAUAAAUACAGAGAUUUAUUUAUUAUUAAUAUGAUUCAACAUCAAUCAUCCUCAUCCUCCGAGCCUUUUUCCCAACUAUGCUUUACAGUUUUACCAAUACCCUGUGGUUAGGCUGGUGUCAGACUUACUGGCUACUGACUACCCGUAACGACUGCCAAGGAUGUUCAAUGACAGCCGGGAGCUACAGUUUAACGUGCCAUCCGAAACACAGUCAUUGGUGUCUAAGAUAUUCUUAGAAAGUACAUACUAACUUAGAAAAGUUGGUCCAUGCCUGACCUGGAAUCGAACCCGCGCCCUCAUACUCGAGAGGUUGGUUCUUUGCCCACUAGGCCACCACGACUAUCAAUUCAACACCAAUAUAAGUAAAAAAAUAUUCUGGAAGAUAGUAUUAAUUAAUGAUGUAAACAAGACUAUAAAAUAAAUGAUAACACCAGUUUUUA
This is a long non-coding RNA of Helicoverpa armigera (cotton bollworm), 872 nucleotides long. RefSeq lists it as uncharacterized. The transcript is spliced from 3 exons. NCBI's taxonomy places the organism in Eukaryota, Metazoa, Arthropoda, Insecta, Lepidoptera, Noctuidae. The record is from RefSeq and is a predicted model, not a curated record.